Molecule: ribosomal RNA, 2058 nt
Filed under: Klebsiella pneumoniae
Lineage: Bacteria; Pseudomonadati; Pseudomonadota; Gammaproteobacteria; Enterobacterales; Enterobacteriaceae
Description: partial 23S ribosomal RNA
Rfam family: Bacterial large subunit ribosomal RNA
Source: RNAcentral
UCAUCUUCGGGGGUAGAGCACUGUUUCGGCUAGGGGGUCAUCCCGACUUACCAACCCGAUGCAAACUACGAAUACCGAAGAAUGUUAUCACGGGAGACACACGGCGGGUGCUAACGUCCGUCGUGAAGAGGGAAACAACCCAGACCGCCAGCUAAGGUCCCAAAGUCAUGGUUAAGUGGGAAACGAUGUGGGAAGGCACAGACAGCCAGGAUGUUGGCUUAGAAGCAGCCAUCAUUUAAAGAAAGCGUAAUAGCUCACUGGUCGAGUCGGCCUGCGCGGAAGAUGUAACGGGGCUAAACCAUGCACCGAAGCUGCGGCAGCGACACUAUGUGUUGUUGGGUAGGGGAGCGUUCUGUAAGCCUGCGAAGGUGUGCUGUGAGGCAUGCUGGAGGUAUCAGAAGUGCGAAUGCUGACAUAAGUAACGAUAAAGCGGGUGAAAAGCCCGCUCGCCGGAAGACCAAGGGUUCCUGUCCAACGUUAAUCGGGGCAGGGUGAGUCGACCCCUAAGGCGAGGCCGAAAGGCGUAGUCGAUGGGAAACAGGUUAAUAUUCCUGUACUUGGUGUUACUGCGAAGGGGGGACGGAGAAGGCUAUGUUAGCCGGGCGACGGUUGUCCCGGUUUAAGCAUGUAGGCUGGUUGUCCAGGCAAAUCCGGAUAAUCAAGGCUGAGGUGUGAUGACGAGGCACUACGGUGCUGAAGUAACAAAUGCCCUGCUUCCAGGAAAAGCCUCUAAGCAUCAGGUAACAUCAAAUCGUACCCCAAACCGACACAGGUGGUCAGGUAGAGAAUACCAAGGCGCUUGAGAGAACUCGGGUGAAGGAACUAGGCAAAAUGGUGCCGUAACUUCGGGAGAAGGCACGCUGGUGUGUAGGUGAAGUCCCUGCGGAUGGAGCUGAGACCAGUCGAAGAUACCAGCUGGCUGCAACUGUUUAUUAAAAACACAGCACUGUGCAAACACGAAAGUGGACGUAUACGGUGUGACGCCUGCCCGGUGCCGGAAGGUUAAUUGAUGGGGUUAUCCGUAAGGAGAAGCUCUUGAUCGAAGCCCCGGUAAACGGCGGCCGUAACUAUAACGGUCCUAAGGUAGCGAAAUUCCUUGUCGGGUAAGUUCCGACCUGCACGAAUGGCGUAAUGAUGGCCAGGCUGUCUCCACCCGAGACUCAGUGAAAUUGAACUCGCUGUGAAGAUGCAGUGUACCCGCGGCAAGACGGAAAGACCCCGUGAACCUUUACUAUAGCUUGACACUGAACAUUGAGCCUUGAUGUGUAGGAUAGGUGGGAGGCUUUGAAGCGUGGACGCCAGUCUGCGUGGAGCCAACCUUGAAAUACCACCCUUUAAUGUUUGAUGUUCUAACGUUGGCCCCUUACCGGGGUUGCGGACAGUGUCUGGUGGGUAGUUUGACUGGGGCGGUCUCCUCCCAAAGCGUAACGGAGGAGCACGAAGGUUAGCUAAUCCUGGUCGGACAUCAGGAGGUUAGUGCAAUGGCAUAAGCUAGCUUGACUGCGAGCGUGACGGCGCGAGCAGGUGCGAAAGCAGGUCAUAGUGAUCCGGUGGUUCUGAAUGGAAGGGCCAUCGCUCAACGGAUAAAAGGUACUCCGGGGAUAACAGGCUGAUACCGCCCAAGAGUUCAUAUCGACGGCGGUGUUUGGCACCUCGAUGUCGGCUCAUCACAUCCUGGGGCUGAAGUAGGUCCCAAGGGUAUGGCUGUUCGCCAUUUAAAGUGGUACGCGAGCUGGGUUUAGAACGUCGUGAGACAGUUCGGUCCCUAUCUGCCGUGGGCGCUGGAGAAUUGAGGGGGGCUGCUCCUAGUACGAGAGGACCGGAGUGGACGCAUCACUGGUGUUCGGGUUGUCAUGCCAAUGGCACUGCCCGGUAGCUAAAUGCGGAAGAGAUAAGUGCUGAAAGCAUCUAAGCACGAAACUUGCCCCGAGAUGAGUUCUCCCUGAGACUUUAAGUCUCCUGAAGGAACGUUAAAGACGAUGACGUUGAUAGGCCGGGUGUGUAAGCGCAGCGAUGCGUUGAGCUAACCGGUACUAAUGAACCGUGAGGCUUAACCUU